AACGAACGCUGGCGGCAUGCCUAACACAUGCAAGUCGAACGAGACCUUCGGGUCUAGUGGCGCACGGGUGCGUAACGCGUGGGAACCUGCCCUUAGGUUCGGAAUAACUCCCCGAAAGGGGUGCUAAUACCGGAUAAUGUCUUCGGACCAAAGAUUUAUCGCCUUUGGAUGGGCCCGCGUUGGAUUAGCUAGUUGGUAGGGUAAAAGCCUAUCAAGGCGACGAUGCAUAGCUGGUUUGAGAGGAUGAUAAGCCACACUGGGACUGAGACACGGCCCAGACUCCUACAGGAUGCAGCAGUGGGGAAUAUUGGACAAUGGGCGAAAGCCUGAUCCAGCAAUGCCGCGUGAGUGAUGAAGGCCUUAGGGUUGUAAAGCUCUUUUACCCGGGAUGAUAAUGACAGUACCGGGAGAAUAAGCACCGGCUAACUCCGUG
RNAcentral lists this ribosomal RNA (433 nucleotides) under uncultured bacterium. RNAcentral describes it as "partial 16S ribosomal RNA". It matches the Rfam family "Bacterial small subunit ribosomal RNA", at positions 29 to 507 of the family's 1533-position model. The record is from RNAcentral.